UUGUGGUGAGCUAAAACUGAUUAAUUGUGCAUAAUAAUUUCUAGUAGCAGUAAUUGAACUAUUUUGGUCGCUGAUCUCAAAAGAGGUUAAGGCUAAUCACCCAAAGAUUAUCAGGUGAAUUUCCUGGUUAUAUGAUUCAAACUGCAUCCUUUCUAGGUCAUUAAUUCUCAAGCAUCGAUCCCUUGUUUCUUAAUUUCAGCUUGCAGGGGUUGUUGCGGUUGAAGUCACAGGAGGGCCAACCAUCGACUUUGUUCCAGGAAGAAUGGAUUGCGCAGAUUCUCCUGAUGAAGGACGCCUUCCUGAUGCAAAUCAAGGUGCCGGACAUUUGAGAGAAAUCUUUUACAGAAUGGGGCUUUCUGACAAGGAUAUUAUCGC
Spinacia oleracea (spinach) is the source of this 375-nucleotide long non-coding RNA. RefSeq lists it as uncharacterized. The record is from RefSeq and is a predicted model, not a curated record. The transcript has 3 exons. NCBI's taxonomy places the organism in Eukaryota, Viridiplantae, Streptophyta, Magnoliopsida, Caryophyllales, Amaranthaceae.